RNA transcript from Diceros bicornis minor, 2934 nucleotides. It is a transcript of the gene named ganglioside GM2 activator, with no coding region annotated. The record is from RefSeq and is a predicted model, not a curated record. NCBI's taxonomy places the organism in Eukaryota, Metazoa, Chordata, Mammalia, Perissodactyla, Rhinocerotidae. The transcript has 7 exons.
CGAUCCUGGAAGUGGCGGCGCUCAGCUUUGCAUAGCAAUACAUAGCUUUGCGUAACAGUGCAGGCAGGCUUUUAAAGGCGCCGCCGACGCCAGAGACCUUGUAGUUCGCCGCGAGUGGACCAACCGUUUGCGAUGAGACCCUUGAUGCAGGCUCCGUUCCUGAUCGCCCUCGGCUUGCUUCUCGCCGGCCCUGCGGCUCCUGUAAGCAUCCUCCCAGACCGGCUCGGUAGCUUUUCCUGGGAUAACUGUGACGAGGGGAAGGACCCUGCCGUGAUCAAAAGCCUGACUGUGGAACCUGACCCCAUUGCCAUUCCUGGGAACGUGACUAUCAGUGCUGAGGUGAAGACCACUGUCGCCCUUAAUCCUCCUCAGAAGGUGGAAAUAACUCUGGAGAAGGAAGUGGCUGGCGUGUGGAUCAAAAUUCCAUGUGUGGAACAAAUUGGUAGCUGUACCUUUGACAAUGCCUGUGAUAUACUUGACACUUUGAUUCCCCCUGGGCAGCCCUGCCCAGAGCCCCUGCACACCUACGGGCUUCCCUGCCACUGUCCCUUCAAAGAAUGCUCCAGGCCCCUUGGUGCUUUGCUAAACUUUUGUGAAAAGAAACUGCUUCUGGAUCAAGAUGUCUCUGGGCUCUGGGACCUAAGAGCCAUUCUUGGAAAUGCAAAUGCUUCUCAUCAGAAAAAAAGCUUUAGCCAUUUGAGCAGACAGUUUUACUCUGAUGCUUUUGCAAGUAUAUUUCAUCUUCAGAGAGAUUCAUGGAAAGGACUCUGACACUCUAGAAUACAGGUUCUUGAUAAACUUUCAGAUCAUAAAACUGAACUGGGUAAGAAAUUACAGAACUAUAACGAAGAAAUUGAUGGCUUCAUAAAACUGCUAAUGAAAGAUCAAGAUCAAGAGUUGAUUACAUGGGACUGAAUGAACUGAUAAGGAUGAUUAUAAUUUUUAUGACUUUUCUGUUUGAAAUAUUGCUGAUUUUUUUAAUGUUUUGUUUUUCCAGAUUUAAGGAUGACUGAUAGCAAUUUGGUAAAUUAUACCUUUGUAACAGAGUUGAAAUAUUCAUCUCUUUUUUCCUACCUGAUCCCUCCAGAAUUUGGAAACUCUUAAUGAAAUCCUUGAGAACUGAAACCACUCUUUUUCCUGAAGCUCUGCAAACUGAAGCCAGAUAACUUGAUACAAACUUAAGAGAGAUCACCACAGCAGCCCAUGUUUAGACAAUCUUCAUGCCUGUUGCUGUGUAAGGCAUUCAAAAAUGUACCUGAACACCUGAUGACAUCAUCAGAGACAUUUCAAACUACAAAAGAUGCUUCAACUCUGACAUCUAGAAAUCUUCUUGACUGGCUGUCCCCUGGGCUCAGAAACUGGUUUAUAAUUUGCUCUAGCCAUUAGCUUUGUUUUUCUUUUGUUUCCAUAGAAAUGCUUCCCAUUAAAUACCUGAUUGCUUGCUUACAAAAUAUACACCUAACUUUGGGAGCCCAUCUGAAUCACUGCCUCCUAAAAUGAAUUUAACUGAACCAACCUAUCAUCAGGACUAAGAGACUGGCUCAAUGUGAUGAAAUAAUCUAUGCCCCUAAUCAGCGGGAAGUACCUAGAAGGUCAUUGCCCUAUUUCCUCAAGAUUGAGGAAUGGGGACUGGCCCAGUGGCUUAGCGGUUAAGUUCACAUCCUCCACUUUGGUGGCCCAGGUUUUGCAGGUUUGGAUCCUGCGCUCAGACUGACGCACCGCUUGUCAAGCCAUGCUGUGGCGGUGUCCCGUAUAAAGUAGAGGAAGACGGGCAUGGAUGUUAGCUCAGGGCUAAUCUUCCUCACAAAAGAAAAAAAUAAGAUUGAGGACUGUACAAAGAGGGGAAUUGAAACAGCACAUAAAACAUUGACCAACAGAAGCUAAUUUUGCUUCCUUAAAACAGGUAGUUGAUUAAUCAAACCUUGCUCAGUAACAGAGACAGCACUGCACAUGUGCUAGGCAGAAACCUAUUGCCCCAGGAUGACCCUGCAACCAAGAAUCUUCAGAAAUGUUGCCACCUGAGCCCUUUACGAAGCAAGAAGUCCUUCAAUAAGGAAAAUCUGGCUUCCAGCAGCCCAAGUAGCUUGAUUACCAUACAUGGACUGAUUUCGAGACUAGUCAAUCAGCUUACAUGGGCACAGCUGUAGCUUAGUAGCCCCUAACUCCUUAAAUUUUGCCCCGAAUCCUGGAUUGGGGAGACAGAUUUGAGAGCCUUGCCUCCUAUCUCCUUGCCAGUUGACCUUGCAAUAAAGCCUUUUCUUCUCUCAAAAACCGGUGCCAUAAUUUUGGCUUUUUAUGCGCAUUGGGCAACAGGCCUUCUUGCUCGGUAGCAAACUCAAAUUGAGAGACAUUACAAAAUAACUGGCCAGUACUCUUCAAAAGUACCAGGAUCAUCAACAGUAAGACAAGACUGAGGAACAGUCACGGAUUGGAAGAGAAUAAAAAAUAUGACAACUAAAUGCAUUGUGAGAUGUUGGAUUGAAUGCUGGAUUAGAAAAUAACCAGAAAUAGGAUUUCACCAAUGUUAAUUACUUGGUUUUGAUAAUUGUACUAUGGUCAUGUAAGAUGUCGUUAAAAAGAAACAACAGGCCCAAAAUUGUUCUGCUAAGCCCAAGUCACCAAACCAUGAUUUAAUACCUAACCUAAUUGCAAUUUCACCAUUCCUCAGGAAUGCAGUCUUAACCUGUCGGCCUGGAAUUUCCUGGUCAGCACUAAUGAGGUAAUAUGUCUAAUAGACCCUCUUUGUCCCCCAAAGGAAAGUGAUCUUGCUCAAAAUAAUCCUUUUUUUCAUAUAUGCCUUCCUUGUCCCACCUCCUCUCUGCCUUUAAAAACCUUCCCUUGUCUGUAGCUCUUUGGAGCUCUUUUCUAUUUGCUAGAUGGGAUCCUGCCCAAUUUAUGAAUCAUUGAAUAAAGCCAAUUAGAUCUUUAAAUUUA